This 236-nucleotide long non-coding RNA is filed under the name Glycine max (soybean). RNAcentral's name for it is "long non-coding RNA (GMAX_LNC000094)". The record is from RNAcentral. Lineage: Eukaryota; Viridiplantae; Streptophyta; Magnoliopsida; Fabales; Fabaceae.
GGGAAUGCCUUUCGGGGAUUGUUGGCGAAAGCAGUUUUGAAGAGCUGGUUGAAAUUGGAGUACAGGUUUGGGUCGUCGGAGACAACAUCGGAUGUUUCAUCGCAGAAGAGGUUAAGGUCAAGGUCGAGAGAUCCGUUUGAAAAAUUGGGGUCUUGAGGCUAAGACUAUUAUUGUUCUUCUAGUUUGGGUGUGUGGGUGUUGAGCCAUUCGUUGAAAGGUUUGAGCUUUGGGAUUAU